Molecule: long non-coding RNA, 4382 nt
Organism: Ostrea edulis (European flat oyster)
Lineage: Eukaryota; Metazoa; Mollusca; Bivalvia; Ostreida; Ostreidae
Exons: 2
Source: RefSeq, a predicted model, not a curated record
CUUAUUAAAGUAUAUAAUCUGUGUGCGUGGCGGUGCGUCACGCCGUGUGUGUGUGUGUGUGUGUGUGUGCGUGUGUUUGUAAGCCCUGUCAAUUGAACCAGUGAAUAAGAAGGCACACGUGUAAAUCAACACGGGGUCGGCCAAAGGAACACGGAAAUGGUGGUGUUCAGUUGGAUUUUUAUAAAAAUCAGCAUAAAAUCAUUAAAUAGGUCAUCUACCAUCAAAAUCCUGAAGUGUUUACUUAACAGGAUUUAUGAGAUGUGUGUAACAGGUGUGUAAAGAUUUAGCACUCGUCCAUCUUUUUUCCUUGCGAGCAUGGCUUACACACUUUCGAAGUGCGCAUGCUCUGUUUUAAAUGACGUCAUUUGUGAUAUCAUCAUAAUGGAGUUUUCCAGGGAAAGAAGUUGGCCCAUCUGAGGUAAGUAAACACGGUUGAAAGAAAUUUUUUGCAUGUUAUCAAUGGGUUUUUUAUUACAUAGAUUGAUUAAAUGGUGUUUCAUACCGAUCGUGUUAUGUACAAGCGACAGAGUACCCGAGUUACUGAAAAUUUCGAUGAUAAAAGUGAUAAAUCUGUGUGAACUGUUUGGGGUUUUUUUCUUUUUGAAAUAUAAUCUUUGCAGUUAAUGUACUCUGUAUACUAAGAAUUCAUAUUGAUUUUGGAUAAAAUUUCACAAAAAGAAAUGCGCCAGGUCCUUAGGAACCAACCCCCCUACCCCACCCCCACACGGCACAUUUUUUGGAUGAUUGGAACGUAUACCCCUUUACAUCUGUCUCCAUACUUUGAAGUUUUUUCCAACGCCAUUACAUAAAUAAUAAAUAGAAAAAUAAAUAAAAAUGCAAAAAUAAAAAAGAAAGAUGUAUAUGUAUUCGGAUUGGCAUGUUCCACUUUGUCCGGGUUGAAAUCCCUGAGGAUGCAAAUGUACAUUACGCCGCACUGCUUGUAGUACGUACAAGGUACAGGCGUACCGCAUAGGUAUGUAACUACUAAGACUAUAAACCAAACAGAAUAUGAUAUGUAAAACUAUUACUCUGAAUGCGUUUUACUUGUUUACAAUGUAGCCUGUCGAGCUGUGGUGUCACACGCGUGGUUUACACGUGCACUUUAGGUGGCAGUGGAGGAAAUUCGAACGAUGUAUGGAUUAUUGUCUCCUGGUAACUUUGGCAGUUACCUUUUGCUUUCAAUCUACUUUUUAAGAAUAAUUCAACCCUCGCUAAUCAUUUCCAAGCUGCAUUUCGAUCUUGGAAGAAUGAUCUUCAGCUACAAUACAAAAUUAAGGGAUGAUGUUGUGUACUGAGUUUUUCUUGAUUGUUUACAUCUGUGAUUGUUUAUGUGAUGUAUAAACUGAUCAAGCUGUACAGUGUCAUGACAUAUAGUGGCAUAGCUUCCAUUUAUAUGCUUGCGCAUCAUUUUGUCAGAAGAAGAAAAUUCUAAAAUUAAGAUUUUUAACAUGUAUAUGAUUAUAUGUGUUUGUUUGAUUUUAGUAUAAUACCUGUAGAGAACAUUUCAGUAAUAUGAAGUGCGACACAUUUAGACGCAUGCAUGUGGUGUUUGAAGGUCUCAUCUGAAAGACCAGCAACUUUCUCUUUUGAAUGCUAAAUAUGACGAUGGAGCAUUCACCUCACUACCUACAUUUACACCCUAAAUAAAGUACAUUAGCAUGGCUCGAAACCAUGAUUUCUUCAUCAUGAAGCAAAUGCUCUGUUACCACUGAGCUACCAAUUUUUUAACAUGAAUUCAUAGCUAAAAAUUUUAAAAAUUUAUAACUAAUUUUUUGGUUAAUUCCAUAAAUAUUAUUCCUCUCUCUAGACACAAUUCAGGGUAACCCCCUGCCUUUGGGGAUAUAAGCACAUCAUUUCUUUCAGAAUGGGACAAUGUGAGGAGAGCUUUUGUUAUUUGUUAUACUCUUAGUGUUGAUGGCAUCUAUGAACAACAGGAUAAUGUUUUUAGAUUAUUAUUUCUGAUAUCAUAUUUGUAAAUUGUUUAUGAGGGGUUGUUAAAGUUUGUGGACAAAAGGACACACUUAUUAAAAAUUCAAAGUUAUGAUAAGUAAAAAAUAUAGGAGAUGUGUAACAAGAUUGUAGAUUUGAACAUUUUAAUUUUAAUUAAUUUUUAUAAGUAUUGAUUUCAGAUACAUGUAUGACAUUGCAUGCUUGAUCGGGGAGGGGGGCUACAGUUAGAUAAUAUUCUGGUCAGCAUAUUCGAUAAACUACAGUUGUACAUGGAACUCAUUAAAUCACUUCUUUUUCUUUCAGUGGUCUUCAACUUUUAAUCUCCAAGAAGGAAAUGUAAUUAAAAGAUGAAUAAAGUAUCCCUAAGAAUACCAGAAGAAAGGCUGUGUUGAGAAAAACAGCCCUUCCUCGGUACCUCAGAACUAGAUGAUAGCCCGUGUUACUUUAUGCUGAAUAUGACACAGUAUAGAAGAUCUGAUCAUGAAGAAGUUACACCAUUGAUACACUUGCCAACUGCCAAAACUACUUUCUGAUAGUAUGACGAGAUUAGAAGAUAUCAUGGUGUAGUCAUGACACAAACUGCAAAUCAAAGAUUGUCUUCCCCAGAGGAUGAACAGAGUGCUUCACAUGGAUAACAUUUCCUUUUCGAGUUUUGAAAUUAAUUUGUCAGAAUGUUAUGCAUCAUGAUCAACAGAAAAAAACUUCACAGGUAGACCAAAGCUGACAUGGGAUGAGAUCCUAAAACGAGACCUAGAGUUUAGAGGAUUGGAUAGGAUCAAUCCACUGGGUCGCCAAGUGUGGAAGUACAAACUUCAACCUCGACAGGACAGCCAGGCCUCACCCUUGCAAAAAUAUUAAUUUGGCCUGGAUAGUCAAAAUGAGUGAUGAUGAUGAUAUCAAGGUCUGACACUGUAAGCUCAGUAAGGGUAGAUGCUGGCAAUGAAGCUGUUAAGCAAUACAACAAACAGGUUUAACAUUGAACAUGUUUAUAUACUUUUUUAGCUCAAAUGAGCUUUUCUGAUCACCUUUGCCUGUCGUCUGUCUCUCUGUAAACUUUUCACAUUUUCAUUUUCUUCUCCAGAGUGAACCACUGGGCCAGUUUCAAUCAAACUUGGUAUGCAUCAUCAAUAGAUAAAGGGUAUGCAAAAAUAGGGUGGGGUCAUUUAAAAAAAACCUUUUCAAGAACCACUGGACCAGGAAAGUUGAAUUCACAUAAAAGGUUCCUGUUUUGUGCAAAUCAUGGUAUCCGGGGGUAGGGUGAGGUCACAAUCGAGGAUCAAAGUUUUACAUUCAUAUAUAGUACAGAUUCAAGUUUGUUAAAGGUCAUGGCUCACAGGGGUAGAGUGGGGUCACAAUAGGGGAUCUAAGUUUUAUAUGUGAAAUAUAUACAAGGAAAAUCUUUUAAAAUCUUCUCCUAAAAAACUAGAUGCAGAACUAAACCCAAAAUCGUAGCUCUUUGAGAAGAUAUUGGGGCAAGUCAGAGCACUAGAGCUUCAGAUGAACCCCUUAUUAAAAAUCUUCAAUUUACGGCACAGAAAAAAAGUGCAUGGUUAAGUCCCUCUAUCACUGCAUUCCUGCAUCGCUGUCUCAUGAAUUUAAUAUUAAAUAAUUCCUAACAUAUUUUCCCACUAUACUUGUUUCCAAGCAUACUUUCAAAUAUUCCUUAAACCCACAUAUAACCUAAAAACCCACAGCUUCAAGUGAUUUUCUUUGUUGAUGUAGCCAUGUUAGGUAUACGUAGCCAGUCAAUUUGAACCCCAGUUCAUUUCCAUACUCGUACUCAUUUUGAAACAUAAUGUCUGUGUGAACUAAUAUCCCCACAAAUAUUUUUAGUGAAAUAUUUUGGAUGAAAUCAUCCCAGUUGGGUUAAAUACUUAUUAUUCAAAAACUGUAGGUUUGAAUAUUGAACUAAUCUCACAGCUUUCUUAAGUUUGGUCCCCAUCCACUCUAGUCUGUUUUUACGCUUAACUAUUGAAAUGGAGUGUAAGGGAUCAGACUAGGCUUUAAUAGCAUUAUCAAUUUUCAAAAGCUUUAGAAAAAUUAUACAAUUUUAGGUCACUUGAGUAAACUCAGAUGACAUAUUGCUAUUGGUCUGCGUCCGUUGUAGUCCGUCGAUGUUAACAAUUGAAUAUUUUUAACUAAAUUCUAUAACUGAAAGGUGAAGAUAACGAACAGCGAUCAAUCUACGAUUCGAAUAACAGAAUUCUUUUCAAAUUUAGUAUGAAGCACACAAAUUUACAUUAAACCUUCCUGACAUAGUGCAUAUUCAAGUUUGUUAAAAUCAUUUCCCGGGAGGUAUGGUGUGGUAACAAUAGGGGAUCAAAGUUUUAUAUGCUGAUAUAUUUAAAGGAAAAAUCGUUAAAGAUAUCUCUUGAACUAUUUAAGCUAGAGCUUUCAUAUCUUGUAUAUACAAUUUUUAUGGCAAAACAAAU